UUCUUCCUUCUAUAAUAUGUAACAUAGUGUCGGCCUAUCAAUUUGUUGCCUUGCCUUAGUAGUUGACCAAACACGUGUUCUCCAAAUAUGUGGAAUCUUCUGGUGUCUUCUAAUUCAAUUUGAUCUUUAAACCACCUGAACACAGAACCUAUCAUUGUUUGGUUAUCCAAACACUUCAAUACAAUCUGGAAUAUUUAUUGCUCAUUAAAAGAUAUCUAUUACUCUGCUAUAGUCACUUUGUGCAGAUUAUAUCAAUGCUUCAAAAAUAGAGGCUAAUCUUGCUUGAAGUUCUCCUUUGGCUGCUAUCAGUGUGACAGUGCCUAGCAACACCAAGUUGGAAAUGGUCCAUUUUUUACUUAAGGGCAUGGCAUCUACAUCUUUUGUAAUGAUUUUUUAAAUGAGAAAUGCCUUGGUUAUUUUUUUUCGGAAAUCUAGAAUUCUAGGUAGAAAUGUUUUAUCCUUUGUUUGAUAAUAUUCAUUUAAAAAAAAAAGAAAUCCUCAUCUCUAUAACUUGGAGCCUCAAUAUUUGGAUGAUGGUUUCCUUCUCUCAAUAUAUGUGUUAGAAGAUAACUUUUUCUUUCCAUAGAAGUAAAUAACUGUCAACAAAUGUUCAUUUUAAAUUUUGUAGUAGCAUACUGGAUGUCUGUUUUCUCAAGAUUAUUCUGCUUAAUGAUGCACUAGAAACAGCAUCUUGUUACCUUAGAAGUUUGGUCUGAUUAAUUACAUGAGUCGUUUUUCCUUUUUUUUUCAUUCUGUAGUAUUAUGGAAUAUAUACAAGUAUAAUAUUUUACUUUCUUUCUGGAACUUUUAACUCCUCAGGCUAGGUUAAGGGGCUCACCUUGUCUGUUCUAUUUUUGUUAUUUCGUCUU
RNAcentral lists this unclassified non-coding RNA (869 nucleotides) under Hevea brasiliensis (rubber tree). Lineage: Eukaryota; Viridiplantae; Streptophyta; Magnoliopsida; Malpighiales; Euphorbiaceae. The record is from RNAcentral.